This 584-nucleotide ribosomal RNA is filed under the name uncultured bacterium. Its description in RNAcentral is "bacterial SSU rRNA". It matches the Rfam family "Bacterial small subunit ribosomal RNA", at positions 338 to 945 of the family's 1533-position model. The record is from RNAcentral.
CCUACGGGAGGCAGCAGUGAGGAAUUUUCCGCAAUGGGCGAAAGCCUGACGGAGCAAUACCGCGUGAGGGAUGAAGGAUUUUGGUCUGUAAACCUCUUUUCUCAAGAAAGAAGUUCUGACGGUACUUGAGGAAUAAGCAUCGGCUAACUCCGUGCCAGCAGCCGCGGUAAUACGGGGGAUGCAAGCGUUAUCCGGAAUGAUUGGGCGUAAAGCGCCUGUAGGUUGUUUAUUAAGUCCGUUGUUAAAGCCUAGGGCUUAACCCUAGAAAAGCAAUGGAAACUAGUAGACUAGAGUAUGGCAGGGGUAGAGGGAAUUUCUAGUGUAGCGGUGAAAUGCGUAGAUAUUAGAAAGAACACCGGUGGCGAAAGCGCUCUAACUGGACCAUUACUGACACUCAGAGGCGAAAGCUAGGGUAGCAAAAGGGAUUAGAUACCCCUGUAGUCCUAGCCGUAAACGAUGGAUACUAGAUGUUGUGCAUUAUGUACAGUAUCGUAGCUAACGCGUUAAGUAUCCCGCCUGGGAGUACGCUCGCAAGGUGAACUUAAGGAAUUGACGGCUGAGANGCGAGACGACGACGAGGAGAG